This 412-nucleotide ribosomal RNA is filed under the name Amanita ballerinoides. RNAcentral describes it as "Amanita sp. JEIC-2022a partial large subunit ribosomal RNA". It matches the Rfam family "Eukaryotic large subunit ribosomal RNA", at positions 464 to 857 of the family's 3401-position model. Lineage: Eukaryota; Fungi; Basidiomycota; Agaricomycetes; Agaricales; Amanitaceae. The record is from RNAcentral.
UUAUUAGCUGGGUGUACUUCCUAGUGGACAGGCCAACAUCAGUUUUGACCGUCAGAGAAAGGCCAACGGAAUGUGGCACCUUUUCGGAGGUGUGUUAUAGCCGUUGGUUGUAUGUGGUGGUUGGGACUGAGGACAGCAGCGUGCCGCAAGGCCGGGUUUCGACCACGAUCACGCUUUGGAUGUUGGCAUAAUGGCUUUAAGCGACCCGUCUUGAAACACGGACCAAGGAGUCUAACAUGCAUGCGAGUGUUUGGGUGGAAAACCCAAGCGCGUAAUGAAAGUGAAAGUUGAGAUCCUCGUUACUGGGGAGCAUCGACACCCGGACCAGAACUUUUGGGACGGAUCCGCGGUAGAGCAAGUAUGUUGGGACCCGAAAGAUGGUGAACUAUGCCUGAAUAGGGUGAAGCCAGAG